This 463-nucleotide ribosomal RNA is filed under the name uncultured bacterium. RNAcentral describes it as "SSU rRNA". It matches the Rfam family "Bacterial small subunit ribosomal RNA", at positions 26 to 521 of the family's 1533-position model. The record is from RNAcentral.
AGGAUGAACGCUGGCGGCGUGCCUAAUACAUGCAAGUCGAGCGGUAAGGCUACUUCGGUAGUACACGAGCGGCGGACGGCUGAGUAACACGUAGGAACGUACCCCAAAGUGAGGCAUAAGCACCAGAAAUGGUGUCUAAUACCGCAUGUGAUCUUCGGAUUAAAGCUUCGGCGCUUUGGGAACGGCCUGCGCAUGAUUAGCUUGUUGGUGAGGUAAUAGCUCACCAAGGCGACGAUCAUUAGCUGGUCUGAGAGGAUGACCAGCCAGACUGGGACUGAGAACGGCCCAGACUCCUACGGGAGGCAGCAGUAGGGAAUUUUUCCACAAUGGGCGAAAAGCCUGAUGGAGCAACGCCGCGUGCAGGAUGAAAGGCUCUCGGGUCGUAAAACUGCUUUUAUAUGUGAAGAUUAUGACGGUAGCAUAUGAAUAAGGAUCGGCUAAACUCCGUGCCAGCAGCCGCGGU